This 458-nucleotide ribosomal RNA is filed under the name uncultured bacterium. Its description in RNAcentral is "partial 16S ribosomal RNA". It matches the Rfam family "Bacterial small subunit ribosomal RNA", at positions 338 to 795 of the family's 1533-position model. The record is from RNAcentral.
CCUACGGGGGACAGCAGUGAGGAAUAUUGGUCAAUGGGCGAGAGCCUGAACCAGCCAAGUCGCGUGAGGGAGUACUGCCCUAUGGGUUGUAAACCUCUUUUGUCGGGGAGCAAAAGCCGGACGUGUCCGGCUGUGAGAGUACCCGAAGAAAAAGCAUCGGCUAACUCCGUGCCAGCAGCCGCGGUAAUACGGGGGAUGCGGGCGUUAUCCGGAUUUAUUGGGUUAAAAGGGUGCGCAGGCGGAUUUUUAAGUCAGCGGUAAAAUCGUGGGGCUCAACCCCAUCCAGCCGUUGAAACUGGGGAUCUAGAGUGUGCGAGAGGUAUGCGGAAUGCGUGGUGUAGCGGUGAAAUGCAUAGAUAUCACGCAGAACCCCGAUUGCGAAGGCAGCAUACCGGUGCACAACUGACGCUCAGGCACGAAGGCGUGGGUAUCGAACAGGAUUAGAUACCCGUGUAGUC